GCGGUUAUUUCCGUUCCGCAAGGAAUGGUUGUAACUGAGUGGCGAACGGGUGAGUAACACGUGGGUGAUUUACCUUCGAGUGGGGGAUAACGUUCCGAAAGGAACGCUAAUACCGCAUGACGUUCUGGGUUUGAAGACCUGGAAACCGAAGUCGGGGACCGCAAGGCCUGACGCUUGGAGAGGAGCCCGCGCCUGAUUAGCUAGUUGGUGAGGUAAUGGCUCACCAAGGCAACGAUCAGUAGCCGGCCUGAGAGGGCGGACGGCCACACUGGGACUGAGACACGGCCCAGACUCCUACGGGAGGCAGCAGUGGGGAAUUGUUCGCAAUGGGCGCAAGCCUGACGACGCAACGCCGCGUGGAGGAUGAAGGUCUUCGGAUUGUAAACUCCUGUUGAUGGGGAAGAACAGGUGCCGGGUUAAUACUCCGGCACAUUGACGGUACCCGUUGAGGAAGCCACGGCUAACUCUGUGCCAGCAGCCGCGGUAAUACAGAGGUGGCAAGCGUUGUUCGGAAUUACUGGGCGUAAAGGGCGCGUAGGCGGCCUUCUAAGUCAGACGUGAAAUCCCCAGGCUUAACUUGGGAACUGCGUCUGAUACUGGGAGGCUUGAAUGCGGGAGAGGGAUGUGGAAUUCCAGGUGUAGCGGUGAAAUGCGUAGAUAUCUGGAGGAACACCGGUGGCGAAGGCGGCAUCCUGGACCGACAUUGACGCUGAGGCGCGAAAGCUAGGGGAGCAAACGGGAUUAGAUACCCCGGUAGUCCUAGCCCUAAACGAUGAGUGCUUGGUGUGGCGGGUAUCGA
Molecule: ribosomal RNA, 799 nt
Filed under: uncultured Acidobacteriota bacterium
Lineage: Bacteria; Pseudomonadati; Acidobacteriota
Description: bacterial SSU rRNA
Rfam family: Bacterial small subunit ribosomal RNA
Source: RNAcentral